This 20-nucleotide unclassified non-coding RNA is filed under the name Mus musculus (house mouse). RNAcentral describes it as "oocyte_clustered_small_RNA12333". The record is from RNAcentral. Lineage: Eukaryota; Metazoa; Chordata; Mammalia; Rodentia; Muridae.
UCUGUUCACAGUUGUGUUAG